CAGAGGGUGCAAGCGUUGCUCGGAAUCAUUGGGCGUAAAGGGCAAGUAGGUGGUCUCAUUUGUCUCGUGUGAAAGCCUUGGGCUUAACCCAAGAAGUGCGCGAGAACGGUGAGACUCGAGUUCUGGAGAGGGUCGUGGAAUUCCCGGUGUAGCGGUGAAAUGCGUAGAGAUCGGGAGGAACACCAGAGGCGAAGGCGGCGACCUGGACAGAUACUGACACUCAACUGCGAAAGCGUGGGGAGCAAACAGGAUUAGAUACCCUGGUAGUCCACGCUGUAAACGAUGGGUACUAGGUUUGGUGGGUCUUGACCCCCGCCGAACCGGAGCUAACGCACUAAGUACCCCGCCUGGGAAGUACGGUCGCAAGACUA
This 371-nucleotide ribosomal RNA is filed under the name uncultured organism. RNAcentral's name for it is "bacterial SSU rRNA". It matches the Rfam family "Bacterial small subunit ribosomal RNA", at positions 526 to 896 of the family's 1533-position model. The record is from RNAcentral.